CUUUCCAUGGCCAAACUGGUCAAGGCAUCGCCGAUUAGAGACCAAAAUGCGGGUUCGAGUCCCGCUGGAACGG
RNAcentral lists this transfer RNA (73 nucleotides) under Operophtera brumata (winter moth). It matches the Rfam family "tRNA". Rfam says of the family: Transfer RNA (tRNA) molecules are approximately 80 nucleotides in length. Their secondary structure includes four short double-helical elements and three loops (D, anti-codon, and T loops). Further hydrogen bonds mediate the characteristic L-shaped molecular structure. tRNAs have two regions of fundamental functional importance: the anti-codon, which is responsible for specific mRNA codon recognition, and the 3' end, to which the tRNAs corresponding amino acid is attached (by aminoacyl-tRNA synthetases). tRNAs cope with the degeneracy of the genetic code in two manners: having more than one tRNA (with a specific anti-codon) for a particular amino acid; and 'wobble' base-pairing, i.e. permitting non-standard base-pairing at the 3rd anti-codon position. Lineage: Eukaryota; Metazoa; Arthropoda; Insecta; Lepidoptera; Geometridae. The record is from Rfam by way of RNAcentral.